RNAcentral lists this ribosomal RNA (253 nucleotides) under uncultured bacterium. Its description in RNAcentral is "partial 16S ribosomal RNA". It matches the Rfam family "Bacterial small subunit ribosomal RNA", at positions 524 to 776 of the family's 1533-position model. The record is from RNAcentral.
UACGAAGGGGGCUAGCGUUGUUCGGAAUUACUGGGCGUAAAGCGUGCGCAGGCGGCUUCUCAAGUCAGGGGUGAAAGCCCAGAGCUCAACUCUGGAAUUGCCUUUGAGACUGAGUGGCUUGAGUACGAGAGAGGUGAGUGGAAUUCCCAGUGUAGAGGUGAAAUUCGUAGAUAUUGGGAAGAACACCGGUGGCGAAGGCAGCUCACUGGCUCGUAACUGACGCUCAUGCACGACAGCGUGGGGAUCAAACAGG